RNAcentral lists this ribosomal RNA (253 nucleotides) under uncultured bacterium. RNAcentral's name for it is "partial 16S ribosomal RNA". It matches the Rfam family "Bacterial small subunit ribosomal RNA", at positions 524 to 776 of the family's 1533-position model. The record is from RNAcentral.
UACAUGGGGUGCAAACGUUGCUCGGAAUUAUUGGGCGUAAAGCGCACGUAGGCGGUUCGUUAAGUCGGAUGUGAAAGCCCUCGGCUCAACUGAGGAAGUGCACCCGAAACUGGCGAGCUUGAGUACGAAAGAGGAUCGCGGAAUUCCCGGUGUAGAGGUGAAAUUCGUAGAUAUCGGGAGGAACACCGGUGGCGAAGGCGGCGAUCUGGGUCGAUACUGACGCUGAUGCGCGAAAGCUAGGGGAGCAAACGGG